GGCUUAGAAGCAGCCAUCCUUGAAAGAGUGCGUAAUAGCUCACUGGUCAAGUGAUUCUGCGCCGAUAAUGUAGCGGGGCUCAAGUACACCGCCGAAGUUAUGGCAAUCAGCUUUUUUGUGGCUGGUUGGGUAGGGGAGCGUCCUGCAUGAGGUGAAGCUGCCACGGGAGUGUGUGGUGGAUUGUGUGGGAGUGAGAAUGCAGGCAUGAGUAGCGAAUCACGGGUGAGAAACCCGUGCGCCGGAUGAUCAAGGGUUCCAGGGUCAAGUUAAUCUGCCCUGGGUUAGUCGGGGCCUAAGGCGAGGCCGACAGGCGUAGUCGAUGGAUAACGGGUUGAUAUUCCCGUACCAGUGAAGAACCGUCCAUACUGAUAUUGUGAUGCUAACCAUGCCGAACACGGUGUCAUGAAGUUUUCUUUGUGGUGUUGUGGGGUGUGUGGGACCCAGGCUUUGGAGGUAAGCGUAUUAACAGGUGUGACGCAGGAAGGUAGCCAAGCCACGCGGUGGUUGUCGUGGUCUAAGCGUGUAGGAUGGUUGGUUGUUAAAUGCGCCAGCUGUGUGUCUGAGACGUGAUGGGACCCCGUUGUUGGGGGAUUUGGUGAUCCUAUGCUGUCGAGAAAAGCAUCGGCGUGAGGUUUGAGCUGCCCGUACCCGAAACCGACACAGGUGAUCAGGUAGAGAAUACUAAGGCGAUCGAGAGAAUCAUGGUUAAGGAACUCGGCAAAAUGCCCCCGUAACUUCGGGAGAAGGGGGGCCCUGAGCGUGAUCUGCCCGUGCGGUGGGGAGCGUGUAGGGGUCGCAGAGACCAGGGGGAAGCGACUGUUUAUCAAAAACACAGGUCCGUGCGAAGUCGUAAGACGAGGUAUACGGACUGACUCCUGCCCGGUGCUGGAAGGUUAAGAGGAGUGGUUAGCCCCUUUUGGGGGCGAAGCUGCGAAUUUAAGCCCCAGUAAACGGCGGUGGUAACUAUAACCAUCCUAAGGUAGCGAAAUUCCUUGUCGGGUAAGUUCCGACCUGCACGAAUGGAGUAACGACUUCCCUACUGUCUCAACCAUGAACUCGGUGAAAUUGCAGUACGAGUAAAGAUGCUCGUUUCGCGCAGCAGGACGGAAAGACCCCGUGACCUUUACUAUAGUUUGGUAUUGGUGUUUGGGUUGGCUUGUGUAGGAUAGGUGGGAGACUGUGAAGCCGCUACGCUAGUGGUGGUGGAGUCGUUGUUGAAAUACCACUCUGGUCAAUCUGAGCGUCUAACUUCGGGCCAUGAUCUGGUUCAGGGACAGUGCCUGAUGGGUAGUUUAACUGGGGCGGUUGCCUCCUAAAGUGUAACGGAGGCGCCCAAAGGUUCCCUCAGCCUGGUUGGCAAUCAGGUGUUGAGUGUAAGUGCACAAGGGAGCUUGACUGUGAGAGUGGCGGCUCGAGCAGGUGCGAAAGCAGGGACUAGUGAUCCGGCAGUGGCGUGUGGAAGCGCUGUCGCUCAACGGAUAAAAGGUACCUCGGGGAUAACAGGCUGAUCUUGCCCAAGAGUCCAUAUCGACGGCAUGGUUUGGCA
This 1546-nucleotide ribosomal RNA is filed under the name human oral metagenome. Its description in RNAcentral is "bacterial LSU rRNA". It matches the Rfam family "Bacterial large subunit ribosomal RNA", at positions 1103 to 2523 of the family's 2925-position model. The record is from RNAcentral.